RNAcentral lists this small nuclear RNA (86 nucleotides) under Chinchilla lanigera (long-tailed chinchilla). RNAcentral describes it as "U4 spliceosomal RNA (ENSCLAG00000020814.1)". It matches the Rfam family "U4 spliceosomal RNA", at positions 1 to 85 of the family's 138-position model. Rfam says of the family: U4 small nuclear RNA (U4 snRNA) is a component of the major U2-dependent spliceosome. The structure of U4 snRNA from yeast and human has been reported. U4 snRNA presents a k-turn RNA motif in the 5p-SL related to recognition of Snu13 protein. The record is from RNAcentral. Lineage: Eukaryota; Metazoa; Chordata; Mammalia; Rodentia; Chinchillidae.
AGCUUUGCAGGGUAGCAGUUUCAUAGUCAAUGAGGUUUAUCUGAGGCACAAUUAUUGCUAAUUGAAAACUUAAAAUAAUGUGUCUC